This 397-nucleotide ribosomal RNA is filed under the name uncultured bacterium. Its description in RNAcentral is "bacterial SSU rRNA". It matches the Rfam family "Bacterial small subunit ribosomal RNA", at positions 490 to 890 of the family's 1533-position model. The record is from RNAcentral.
GCCCCGGCUAACUACGUGCCAGCAGCCGCGGUAAUACGUAGGGGGCGAGCGUUGUCCGGAAUUAUUGGGCGUAAAGGGUACGUAGGCGGCUUUUUAAGUUUGACGUGAAAGCCCGGGGCUUAACUCCGGCAAGCGUUGAAAACUGGAGAGCUUGAGUGAUGGAAGGGACAGUGGAAUUCCUGGUGUAGUGGUGAAAUGCGCAGAUAUUAGGAAGAAUACCAGUGGCGAAAGCGACUUACUGGCAAUUAACUGACGCUGAGGUACGAAAGCGUGGGGAGCAAACAGGAUCAGAUACCCUGGUAGUCCACGCUGUAAACGAUGAGUGCAAGGUGUUGGGGGUCAAACCCCGGUGCCGCCGUUAACACAGUAAGCACUCCGCCUGGGGAGUACGUACGCA